This 253-nucleotide ribosomal RNA is filed under the name uncultured bacterium. Its description in RNAcentral is "partial 16S ribosomal RNA". It matches the Rfam family "Bacterial small subunit ribosomal RNA", at positions 524 to 776 of the family's 1533-position model. The record is from RNAcentral.
UACAGAGGGUGCAAGCGUUGUUCGGAAUUAUUGGGCGUAAAGGGCGCGUAGGCGGUGCGGUAAGUCUGUAGUGAAAUCUCUGGGCUCAACUCAGAGUCUGCUGCAGAAACUGCCGUGCUUGAGUGUGGGAGAGGUGAGUGGAAUUCCCGGUGUAGCGGUGAAAUGCGUAGAUAUCUGGAGGAACACCGGUGGCGAAGGCGGCGUUCUGGACUGCAACUGACACUGAGGAACGAAAGCCAGGGGAGCAAACGGG